GGGGAAUAUUGCACAAUGGGCGCAAGCCUGAUGCAGCCAUGCCGCGUGUGUGAAGAAGGCCUUCGGGUUGUAAAGCACUUUCAGCGAGGAGGAAGGGUAGUGUGUUAAUAGCACAUUGCAUUGACGUUACUCGCAGAAGAAGCACCGGCUAACUCCGUGCCAGCAGCCGCGGUAAUACGGAGGGUGCAAGCGUUAAUCGGAAUUACUGGGCGUAAAGCGCACGCAGGCGGUUUGUUAAGUCAGAUGUGAAAUCCCCGCGCUUAACGUGGGAACUGCAUUUGAAACUGGCAAGCUAGAGUCUUGUAGAGGGGGGUAGAAUUCCAGGUGUAGCGGUGAAAUGCGUAGAGAUCUGGAGGAAUACCGGUGGCGAAGGCGGCCCCCUGGACAAAGACUGACGCUCAGGUGCGAAAGCGUGGGG
Molecule: ribosomal RNA, 418 nt
Filed under: uncultured bacterium
Lineage: Bacteria
Description: partial 16S ribosomal RNA
Rfam family: Bacterial small subunit ribosomal RNA
Source: RNAcentral